CUGUUUGAGACAGACAUAAAGCAUAUGUAACAUACAAAAUUUAAAACGUAUCCACAAUUUGUGAUGAAACCAUUUAAUUUCCUUUUUCCUAUUUUCAGUUCAUGUGUUCGGGUCUGUGCAACCACCUCUACUGGACUCAUGGAAAGUGACAUAUUUUGCAAAGACCCCCGGUGAUGACAUUGCCACUUGGGGUGCUGUGGCCUGAGCAUACAGUGAAGAUGAGUUAUACUUGCCUGAUGCUGUGCCCCAUGGCUCCAGAAAUCUUUGAUCUUGAGCUCCGGUGCUUCAUUUUCCAGGAGCCCACUUCUGAGCUAUACUCUCGCACAUGCUCGAGAGUACAACUAUAGUGCCUAUGGUGAUCAUGCGGAAGCCUCCAUAGAUACAGGUAUUCUGUGGCAAAGAGAAGAAAAGGCCGUACUCCUAGCAACAGCUGGAGGAAGAAAAAAAUCAUUUGACGGCGGUAGCUCCAUCUUUUUGUUACAUUUUUGUCAAGUUAUGGAUUUACCAUAAGACAAGGUAGACCAUACUAUGUUUUAAGACAUUGUUCGUCUUCCUUAGAAUUUCAAUGAAAUUCCAGCACACUCCGUGUAAG
RNAcentral lists this long non-coding RNA (592 nucleotides) under Pelobates cultripes (western spadefoot toad). The record is from RNAcentral. Lineage: Eukaryota; Metazoa; Chordata; Amphibia; Anura; Pelobatidae.